CCUACGGGAGGCAGCAGUGGGGAAUAUUGGACAAUGGGGGGAACCCUGAUCCAGCCAUGCCGCGUGUGUGAAGAAGGCCCUCGGGUUGUAAAGCACUUUCAGUGAGGAAGAACGCCUGGUGGUUAAUACCCAUCAGGAAAGACAUCACUCACAGAAGAAGCACCGGCUAACUCCGUGCCAGCAGCCGCGGUAAUACGGAGGGUGCGAGCGUUAAUCGGAAUUACUGGGCGUAAAGCGCGCGUAGGUGGCUUGAUAAGCCGGUUGUGAAAGCCCCGGGCUCAACCUGGGAACGGCAUCCGGAACUGUCAAGCUAGAGUGCAGGAGAGGAAGGUAGAAUUCCCGGUGUAGCGGUGAAAUGCGUAGAGAUCGGGAGGAAUACCAGUGGCGAAGGCGGCCCUCUGGACUGACACUGACACUGAGGUGCGAAAGCGUGGGUAGCAAACAGGAUUAGAUACCCUAGUAGUC
RNAcentral lists this ribosomal RNA (465 nucleotides) under Vreelandella stevensii. Its description in RNAcentral is "partial 16S ribosomal RNA". It matches the Rfam family "Bacterial small subunit ribosomal RNA", at positions 338 to 795 of the family's 1533-position model. The record is from RNAcentral. Lineage: Bacteria; Pseudomonadati; Pseudomonadota; Gammaproteobacteria; Oceanospirillales; Halomonadaceae.